ACAGUACUGACAUGACCUUUUAUUAUUUUUCCAUUUGCUAGAUCCACCAGCAUUUCCUUCUUUAGGCAAAAAUUUCGAAUCAGCAACAUUUCCCUUAAACUGAAUCCAUUUCUUCCCUUUGCCUCCAUCAUUUUGCUUUACUUUGGCUUGCAAUGCCCCCUCAACAUGAUCUUCUCUCCUCAUUAGUCUUCUAUGCUCCUGUGCCUGCAAAGCAUUCAGCAACUCUGCAAGUUUUAUAUCGGCCAAAUCCCUUGUGUUUUCCAGAGAAGCUAUAGUAGCUUCAAAUUUUUCUGGAAGAGACACUAGGAUCUUCUGAACAAGCCUAUCAUCCCUCAAAUCAGUUCCCAAAACUCUGAUUUUAUCAGCUAUUCCCACUAGCCUAU
This 383-nucleotide long non-coding RNA is filed under the name Eucalyptus grandis. RNAcentral describes it as "long non-coding RNA (EGRA_LNC005780)". Lineage: Eukaryota; Viridiplantae; Streptophyta; Magnoliopsida; Myrtales; Myrtaceae. The record is from RNAcentral.